RNAcentral lists this ribosomal RNA (162 nucleotides) under Boechera demissa. RNAcentral describes it as "5.8S ribosomal RNA". It matches the Rfam family "5.8S ribosomal RNA". From Rfam's summary of the family: 5.8S ribosomal RNA (5.8S rRNA) is a component of the large subunit of the eukaryotic ribosome. It is transcribed by RNA polymerase I as part of the 45S precursor that also contains 18S and 28S rRNA. Functionally, it is thought that 5.8S rRNA may be involved in ribosome translocation. The record is from RNAcentral. Lineage: Eukaryota; Viridiplantae; Streptophyta; Magnoliopsida; Brassicales; Brassicaceae.
AACGACUCUCGGCAACGGAUAUCUCGGCUCUCGCAUCGAUGAAGAACGUAGCGAAAUGCGAUACUUGGUGUGAAUUGCAGAAUCCCGUGAACCAUCGAGUCUUUGAACGCAAGUUGCGCCCCAAGCCUUCGGGCCGAGGGCACAUCUGCCUGGGUGUCACAA